RNAcentral lists this ribosomal RNA (497 nucleotides) under uncultured bacterium. RNAcentral describes it as "partial 16S ribosomal RNA". It matches the Rfam family "Bacterial small subunit ribosomal RNA", at positions 28 to 507 of the family's 1533-position model. The record is from RNAcentral.
GAUGAACGCUGGCGGCGUGCCUAAUACAUGCAAGUCGAGCGAACGGACGAGAAGCCUGCUUCUCUGAUGUUAGCGGCGGACGGGUGAGUAACACGUGGAUAACCUACCUAUAAGACUGGGAUAACUUCGGGAAACCGGAGCUAAUACCGGAUAAUAUUUUGAACCGCAUGGUUCAAAAGUGAAAGACGGUCUUGCUGUCACUUAUAGAUGGAUCCGCGCUGCAUUAGCUAGUUGGUAAGGUAACGGCUUACCAAGGCAACGAUGCAUAGCCGACCUGAGAGGGUGAUCGGCCACACUGGAACUGAGACACGGUCCAGACUCCUACGGGAGGCAGCGGUAGGGAAUCUUCCGCAAAGGGCGAAAGCCUGACGGAGCAACGCCGCGUGAGUGAUGAAGGUCUUCGGAUCGUAAAACUCUGUUAUUAGGGAAGAACAUAUGUGUAAGUAACUGUGCACAUCUUGACGGUACCUAAUCAGAAAGCCACGGCUAACUACGUG